Molecule: ribosomal RNA, 796 nt
Filed under: uncultured Methanosarcina sp.
Lineage: Archaea; Methanobacteriati; Methanobacteriota; Methanomicrobia; Methanosarcinales; Methanosarcinaceae
Description: bacterial SSU rRNA
Rfam family: Archaeal small subunit ribosomal RNA
Source: RNAcentral
ACGGCUCAGUAACACGUGGAUAACCUGCCCUUGGGUCCGGCAUAACCCCGGGAAACUGGGGAUAAUUCCGGAUAACGCACAUAUGCUGGAAUGCUCUAUGCGUAAAAUGGAUUCGUCUGCCCAAGGAUGGGUCUGCGGCCUAUCAGGUAGUAGUGGGUGUAAUGUACCUACUAGCCUACAACGGGUACGGGUUGUGAGAGCAAGAGCCCGGAGAUGGAUUCUGAGACAUGAAUCCAGGCCCUACGGGGCGCAGCAGGCGCGAAAACUUUACAAUGCGGGAAACCGUGAUAAGGGGACACCGAGUGCCAGCAUCAUAUGCUGGCUGUCCAGGUGUGUAAAAUACACCUGUUAGCAAGGGCCGGGCAAGACCGGUGCCAGCCGCCGCGGUAACACCGGCGGCCCGAGUGGUGAUCGUGAUUAUUGGGUCUAAAGGGUCCGUAGCCGGUUUGGUCAGUCCUCCGGGAAAUCUGACGGCUCAACCGUUAGGCUUUCGGGGGAUACUGCCAGGCUUGGAACCGGGAGAGGUAAGAGGUACUACAGGGGUAGGAGUGAAAUCUUGUAAUCCCUGUGGGACCACCUGUGGCGAAGGCGUCUUACCAGAACGGGUUCGACGGUGAGGGACGAAAGCUGGGGGCACGAACCGGAUUAGAUACCCGGGUAGUCCCAGCCGUAAACGAUGCUCGCUAGGUGUCAGGCAUGGCGCGACCGUGUCUGGUGCCGCANGGAAGCCGUGAAGCGAGCCACCUGGGAAGUACGGCCGCAAGGCUGAAACUUAAAGGAAUUGGCGGGGGAGCAC